UAGGGUUUGAUCAUGGCUCAGAUUGAACGCUGGCGGCAUGCCUUACACAUGCAAGUCGAACGGCAGCACGGGGGCAACCCUGGUGGCGAGUGGCGAACGGGUGAGUAACAUAUCGGAACGUGCCCUGGAGUGGGGGAUAACUAGUCGAAAGACUAGCUAAUACCGCAUACGAUCUACGGAUGAAAGUGGGGGAUCGCAAGACCUCAUGCUCGUGGAGCGGCCGAUAUCUGAUUAGCUAGUUGGUGGGGUAAAGGCCUACCAAGGCAUCGAUCAGUAGCUGGUCUGAGAGGACGACCAGCCACACUGGGACUGAGACACGGCCCAGACUCCUACGGGAGGCAGCAGUGGGGAAUUUUGGACAAUGGGCGCAAGCCUGAUCCAGCAAUGCCGCGUGAGUGAAGAAGGCCUUCGGGUUGUAAAGCUCUUUUGGCAGGGAAAGAAACGGGCCGGGCUAAUACCUUUGGCCUAAUGACGGGUACCUGAAGAAUAAGCACCGGCUAACUACGUGCCAGCAGCCGCGGUA
This 523-nucleotide ribosomal RNA is filed under the name uncultured beta proteobacterium. RNAcentral's name for it is "bacterial SSU rRNA". It matches the Rfam family "Bacterial small subunit ribosomal RNA", at positions 1 to 522 of the family's 1533-position model. The record is from RNAcentral. Lineage: Bacteria; Pseudomonadati; Pseudomonadota; Betaproteobacteria.